GAUGACUCGGAGGGAUAUUCCUGAGCAAGAUACAGGGUUUUCUCCAUGGAGCUAAAUAUAACUUUUGAGCAGGGAAUAUGGUGACUCUGCCAGGGGAGGGAUCCCAGGCUGAGCCAGAGGGCCAGGGAUGGGGCAGGCCAGGGAUGGGAGGCUAGGAACGCUUCUCAGUGGACCUGAUACGCAGAUUGAGUUGAGGAGCUGUGGAACCAGCUCUCCAGAAGCGUCUCCAGCACAAACUCAGAAGGAUAGAGAAAGAAAAGAAGGGGACUGGAAUUGAGGAGACAGCAUGCUGACAGAAAGCACAGCUUGACUCAGGGAGGCUGAGAAAGUGGUGAAGGACCAUACCAGAAGAAAGGCUUGUUUGAAACACCCUAUGGCAGAGCCCAAGUGACACUGUUUAAAGCGGCAUGUGGAAUGACGGCCAAGGCCAGUGUUCUCCUGGAAGUUCAAAGUGUGAGAAUGGGAUGGAGCCAGCCAGGAAAACACUCUGCUUCUCAGAGGACUUCAAAGACUGAGAGAAGACACAGAACUGGAGGAGUGUAGACUAUGAAAGAAAUCCUUCCUCUUGAUCCUCUGACUCCGGAUGUAUCCUCAUCCAUUCAUUCGGAAGGUGCAGAGGAGGGAGCCAAGCCCUUGGGACCAGACAGACAGCCAUCUGCCACACAGAGGCCUGCUCAUAUGCCCGGAAAGUCGAGAGCCACACAGGCUGCAUUUCUGCUCCACGGGCCUUGAAGUGGAGAAGACGGCUUGCUGCCAUUUUAUUCGGUCCUGUGGCUCCCGUGAAACUCCAGUCCCCACGCUCCUCACUGGGCCUCUUAAAGGUCCAUCUGUUUCCCCUCUCAACAAACUGACCUGUGUGGGCAAUAAUACCGAAGACCCUCCUCCAAGCUGUGACAGAUCAUUGAAAAUUGCUAGGAAAAGAACUGCAUCAUAACGACCCCAAUACUACGUCAGACCCGGAGAUCCCUAGGCGUGCUUUCUACCCCCAGAGUGUUUUCAGAGCAUGUGUCACUGCUUUGCGGCAGGCUUGUACUGUGAGCAUCCUCAUAACGGACACUUCCUCUGCGGCCCAGUUUACUUUUUUAUACGCUUAGUCAUGCAUACAGAUCCUAGCCGUGGCGACUGACUCAAAAUAACUCAUUUGGGGGCACUACAAAAAGAGUCUUUAUCGGCUGUUUUAAUAACAACACAGCCCACAUUAAACAGCUCAGUUUGGCUGCUUAGAUAUUCCUUCUCAAAUCAUGUCAUAUACAUUUUUGGAAACUACAUUAAAAUACUACGUAUUCUCCCAUCCUCCAACCCUUCAGUCUUUGUUUAUUGCUUUAGUUCAUUCCUGGAUUUUCUCCCUAAGCUGUGGGUAAGGAGUGCCACGGAUAAGUUCAUUUUUUUUGCUUCAAAGUGACAGAAAUGUCUGAUUUCUCUCUGGUUUUGGAAAAACUGAGUAGUCAUAGAAGAUCUAAAGCAGAAAAUCUCAAACCUCUUCAAGGGAGCUGCCUCUUGCUCUCCUUUCCUCUCUCCUUCUCUUUCUUCUUCCUGUCCUUUCCUUCCCUCCCUCCAUGUUUCCUAAAUAUCUGUAAUGUGCCCGCCAUUGUUCUAGAUGAGGAAUCAGACACAAAGGGGAGCAAGUACAGUGUCCCACAGUCUUCUGAAUGUCUUUAAGAAGACAACCUGAGAAAUAGAUAACAUGGCUUUCGUUGGUAUGAAAUCAUCCCAAGAUGUCCCUGCAUGCUUCGGGGGACACCUUCCUGGUUCAUAAUUCCUUUUCCUGCAGACUUCUCUGUUCAGGGCACAGGCCUAGAAAGGCACGAGACCGAGGACUUUAUUACUCACAGCAGCUGACGUGAGACAACAUUUUUUGGUACUGGUCCUGAGCCCCACUUCCACAGGGCAACGUGGAGAGGGACAGAUGACCCGUGUCACACCCACACAUGGCAGCUUGCUUACGAGAGAGGAUUCCUGAUUGCAGAGAACCCAAAUCUUUUUCAAUGCCUACCCUUUUCUUCAAUAGGAGACCUUACUCAACUUCUGAGAGUGCUUGAUAGGCGUGGAGAUUCUCCCCCUGUACGCCUUUCUCUUGCCCUCUGGAAUCCAAAUAAAACUAAAGGAGCUGUCAAGUGUCAGGUGAGACGUAAGUGCCUCCCUCCCCUCCACUGCCCCCCUCCGGUUAAAGCCCCAGCUAUUGUCCCUGCCCUGUUGGCUCUCUUUUCCUACUCUGCCUUCUCCUUCUUACCCUUGUCCGUAUUCUGCUCAGCUGGGAGCACAGGCCUGAGCGCUGAUGGCGUAGGAGCUCCAAUUUGAGAUCCAUUUAUCAAGAGCUGGAAUUGGCAAACCAUGGGCCCAGCCAAAUAGAUUGCAGUCUGUUUUUGUGCAUCUCUGGAGCUAGGGGUGAUACUUAGAUUUUUAAAAGGGUGUGUGUGUGUGUGUGUGUGUGUGUGUGUAUAAAACAAUAUGAGACAGAGCCCGCAAACCUGAAAUAUUUACUAUCUCAAACUUUAUAGGAAAAGUUUGCCAACUCCUAUUGUAGGAGAAAUUGUCAUGUUAUAGGGGAAAGGGGACCAUACAGAAAACAGCAGCAUGGAUGGACGUGCUGGGGGACCGGGCUAGCAUGCUAUCUCUUCAUUCUUCGAGGCAUCCUGCGUACCUCCUUGGUAGAGAGCAGACUGUAUGAUCUUCUUCAUGCCUUAGAAAGUGCAAAUUUCUCAGGCUCUAAAAUCGUACUCUCCGUCUCUGUCUCUCUCCGUUGCUCUCUCUUACUGUUGUGAAUUAAGUCAGGAAAAGUGAAGAGAAGCAUGUGAAUUAUUGUUCCAAUUAUGAUAUGUGAUUCAAACACGUGAGGGACCUUGGCUCAUCUUCCUCUCCGGGUUAAGUGCAGUUACAGCAUCAAUUAGGAUUUAGAUGAUGUUCUCAGAUCUGGGGAAUGGAUUGCUGGGUGCCAGGAAAAUAAUACUACAGUGUCUGUGCAUGCACGGAGCUAGCUGGACAGCUGCUCAAACGGAUUUCCUUUGUGCCGUCCACCAUCUGAGCUCUGUAGAAAUUCUCUCCUUUCAAAGUCAUCUUGGAGUCCCUGAGUCCUCAGAGCCCCGCAUUAUCUUAAUUUUUUUAACCUCUCUGUCACAUAAAGAUUUCAUAUUUUUGCUUAUACUUCAUAUACAUUGAAACAUGCUCAUGCUUGAGAAUAUUGAUGCUUCCUCUAAAAUGACUGUGGAUACUUUCUCCUUCCAGACUCUUUAUGGAGUUGACUCCAGCCUCUAAUCUUGGCCUUGAAAGGUGGCAAGCGGUUCAGUAACGUAGAAUACAGGACACUGACUUAGCUAAGUCUGAUUUUGACUCAAUCAAGAGUGCUAUUAAAAAAAGUGGACAUUUGAAUGGGGGUGGCUUGUCACCUUGAAGAGAGUAGCGGUUUUAAAUCAAUACACUCCAACAUCUUAGAAACAGAUGUUAAUAAGAUGCGGUAUUUGAAGGACAUUUCAGAAGAAUAGGAUUAUACUGAGUACUUUUCUAGUGUUUAUCAAAUUCUUCCCAAGUGACCAUGGAGUACAGAAAGGCAAGUGCCACCGUUCUCGGGGCUGUGAGUAUAUUCGCUUGUUUGAUCACCACAUUCCAAGAGCAGAUGUGAUUGUGCUCCUCAAUGGACAGGGGAGGAAACUGAGGCACAGGGAGGUAAAUGGAGUAGCUCAGAUACAGAACCUGAUGAUUUAGUUCCAGAGCUUUCAGCCUUUUCUGACUGACACCUCAUGCUCUCAGCAUGCCUAGUCACGUGCUGGAAGGGGGAUUCUCGACACUGGUCAUGAAUUACAGUCACCUGGG
Ailuropoda melanoleuca (giant panda) is the source of this 3807-nucleotide long non-coding RNA. The record is from Ensembl. NCBI's taxonomy places the organism in Eukaryota, Metazoa, Chordata, Mammalia, Carnivora, Ursidae.